Symphalangus syndactylus (siamang) is the source of this 2236-nucleotide non-coding RNA. NCBI's taxonomy places the organism in Eukaryota, Metazoa, Chordata, Mammalia, Primates, Hylobatidae. The record is from the annotation of a RefSeq genome assembly.
GUCCUUGCCCAGAGAGCAUCACACAACAACCGCAUCCCUCCCCUACAGAAGCUCCCAGAGCACAGCACCUCACCAUGGACUGGACCUGGAGGCUCCUCCUCUUGGCGGCAGCAGCUACAGGUGCCCACGCUGAGGUCCAGCUGGUACAGUCUGGGGCUGAGGUGAAGAAACCUGGGGCCACCGUGAAAAUCUCCUGCAAGGUUUCUGGAUACACCUUCACCAGCUACUACAUGCACUGGGUGCGACAGGCUCCUGGAAAAGGGCUUGAGUGGAUGGGAGGUAUUGAUCCUGAAGAUGAUGAAACAAUAUACGCAGAGAAGUUCCAGGGCAGAGUCACCAUAACCGCGGACACGUCUACGGACACAGCCUACAUGGAGCUGAGCAGCCUGAGAUCUGAGGACACGGCCAUGUAUUACUGUGCAACAGACACAGUGUGAAAACCCACAUCCUGAGACUCUCUCCCGCACCACGGUCACAUGGCGCCACCUCUCUUGCAGCCUCCACCAAGGGCCCAUCGGUCUUCCCCCUGGCGCCCUGCUCCACGAGCACUUCUGAGAGCACAGCGGCCCUGGGCUGCCUGGUCAAGGACUACUUCCCUGAACCGGUGACCGUGUCGUGGAACAAAGGUGCCCUGACCAGUGGCGUGCACACCUUCCCGGCUAUCCUACAGUCCUCAGGGCUCUACUGCCUCAGCAGCGUGGUGACCGUGCCCUCCAGCAGCUUGGGCACCCAGCCCUACACCUGCAACGUAGAUCACAAGCCGAGCAACACCAAAGUGGAAAAGAAAGUUGGUGAGAGGCCAGCGCAGGGAGGGAGGGUGUCUGCUGGAAGCCAGGCUCAGCCCUCCUGCCUGGACACACCCCGGCUGUGCAGCCCCAGCCCAGGGCAGCAGGGCAGGCCCCAUCUGUCUCCUCACCUGGAGGCCUCUGCCCGCCCCACUCAUGCUCAGGGAGAGGGUUUUCUGGCUUUUUCCACCAGGCACCGGGCAGGCACAGGCUGGAUGCACCUACCCCAAGCCCUGAGCACAAAGGGGCAGGUGCUGGGCUCAGACCGACCAAGAGCCAUAUCCGGGAGGACCCUGCCCCUGACCUAAGCCCACCCCAAAGGCCAAACUCUCCACUCCCUCAGCUCAGAAACCUUCUCUCCUCCCAGACCACAGUAACUCCCAAUCUUCUCUCUGCAGAGCCCAGAACUACAUCUGGUGGCACAACUCACACAUGCCCACCGUGCCCAGGUAAGCCAGCCCAGGCCUCGCCCUCCAGCUCAAGGCGGGACAAGUGCCCUAGAGUGGCCUGCGUCCAGGGACAGGCCCCAGCCGGGUGCUGACACAUCCGCCUCCAUCUCUUCCUCAGCACCUGAACUCCUGGGAGGACCGUCAGUCUUCCUCUUCCCCCCAAAACCCAAGGACACCCUCAUGAUCUCCCGGACCCCUGAGGUCACGUGCGUGGUGGUGGACGUGAGCCAGGAAGACCCCGAGGUCCAGUUCAACUGGUACGUGGACGGUGUGGAGGUGCACAAUGCCAAGACAAAGCCGCGGGAGCAGCAGUACAACAGCACGUUCCGUGUGGUCAGCGUCCUCACCGUCGGGCACCAGGACUGGCUGAACGGCAAGGAGUACAAGUGCAAGGUCUCCAACAAAGCCCUCCCAGCCCCCAUCGAGAGAACCAUCUCCAAACCCAAAGGUGGGACCCGCGGGGCGCGAGGGCCACAUGGACAGAGGCCGGCUCGGCCCACCCUCUGCCCUGGGGGUGACCGCUGUGCCGACCUCUGUCCCUACAGGGCAGCCCCGAGAGCCACAGGUGUACACCCUGUCCCCGUCCCGGGAUGAGAUGACCAAGAACCAGGUCAGCCUGACCUGCCUGGUCAAAGGCUUCUACCCCAGCGACAUCGCCGUGGAGUGGGAGAGCAGCGGGCAGCCGGAGAACAACUACAAGACCACGCCUCCCGUGCUGGACUCCGACGGCUCCUACUUCCUCUACAGCAAGCUCACCGUGGACAAGAGCAGGUGGCAGCAGGGGAACGUCUUCUCAUGCUCCGUGAUGCAUGAGGCUCUGCACAACCACUACACGCAGAAGAGCCUCUCCCUGUCUCCGGGUAAAUGAGUGCGACGGCCGGCAAGCCCCUGCUCCGCGGGCUCUCGGGGUCCCGAGAGGAUGCUUGGCACGCACCCCGUGUACAUACUUCCCGGGCGCCCAGCAUGGAAAUAAAGCACCCAGCACUGCCCUGGGCCCUGCGA